This 3884-nucleotide unclassified non-coding RNA is filed under the name Limulus polyphemus (Atlantic horseshoe crab). Its description in RNAcentral is "uncharacterized LOC106465514, transcript variant X1". Lineage: Eukaryota; Metazoa; Arthropoda; Merostomata; Xiphosura; Limulidae. The record is from RNAcentral.
GUCGUGUGAGAGAAAGUGUAGCCACGUGGGGUAGUUGUGUUUUUGGUUGUAAUUUAAUUGUAGUUUUAAACGAUUUAGCGAGAGGACUGUGCACUGACAAAUAAAGUGUAAGCAAAAUCUAUCAGCUCAUUAUAGAUAGAAAACGGAAUUGAUUUUCAUAAAAAUCAAAAAGAAAAGGUUUUGAAACCAAGAAGUUGAGACUAAUGGCAGGGUUAUCUCCACGCACAAUUGCUGUGUGUGCUAUCCCUGCUCUUAUUGCCAUUUUGUCCAUUAUUUGGUUGAGGAAAAACCGAAAGAAAUCACCUAAACGGGACAGAAGUCUUGUAAACAAACAUCUAGAACAGGAAAGAGAAGGUGAUUUACCUUUCGUUGCUCCAGUUGCAUUUCCAACAACCACUAGGACUCUAUCAGGAGGUGAAGAAGAUGUCUCUAAAAUACUUGCUACGAGAAACUUAAAUGAAGAGUUUGAAGGAUUGCAUAAAAUAUGCAAGGAGGAUGAAUUGUGUCAGGUUCGUGAUGAUAAGUUGUAUGAAUCAGAGAAUCCAAAACAGAAAGUUGAGCCAGAAAUUGUGAGAAAACAUGUUAUCAAAGAUGAAUCUUACCCAAAAUUAAGUGGUAUUAUUACACCGAACAAAGAGAGGGAGUUAAUUAAUGAAAUCAUUCAUGCUGAUAAGCAGUGCGGUGAUAAAGGAGACACUGAAAGUACUUCACUGCAGCCUCUAUGUAUCGGCAAAGUUCUUGAUCAGGAUUUUGCUAGUAGUGUAUCUAAGAGUUCGGGGGAAAAACCAGAGAUCUCUGAAGAAAAUAUCGAUUUGGCUGAAAUCAUCACAGUACAGUAUAAUAAAAAACAAACCAGAAAAAAUGAAAGUGCCGUAUUUACCAAUGCAGAAACAAUAGAUGAAGAACAUCUAUUUGAUGAAGAACAUGUUAAAAAAAACAGUGAAAAGAAUGAAAGUGAGAGAAAUUUUCAAGAAGAUGCUAAGAAGAAUGUUACAGAUGAUUCUCUCACCUUUGUACUGAAAGAAAGUAUACAUUUCCCCUCAGACAUCGGCAUUAAUAAGUCAGAGUUGAACAUGUUAAGAACUUCUGUGGUUUCAGGAAAUCAUGGUAGUGUUGAUGAUUUACGACACAAUUCAGUUUCGUGGACAGAGGAAUGUGCACAGCUUCCAGAACUCUGUAAAGAAUCGCUUGAUAGUCAUUUAAUAAAUGCAGAAUCAACAAAAAAUUUCUUAAUUUCUGCUCAUUUGAGUAAACAAAAUGGCAUACAAGAUCAAACUGAUCACGUGACCCGCAUCUAUGAAACGCAUGUAAUCAGAACAGAUGUUAAUUCAGAAGUUCAGGAAGUUCAAACUGUAAACGUGGAAGGUGAUAAACAAAAAAAAUUGCACUUAUCUCAGUUGAAAGAUGAUAACGACGUAUCCUAUACAGAGGAUACAGAUUGUACAAUUCAUAAAUUGGACACUCGUACAGUUUCAUACCAGAAUCCUCAGGUACGCUCCGAAUCACAUACCCACAGUGCUGUUCCUAUCUAUGAUGCAAGUAACCUUUUGGACGUAAGAAAUGUUGACAGUCCGCCUCAUGGUACAUUGUCUGAUGGCUUAAGCGAGGGAUCAAGUGACAGUGGUAAAGGAGGUAGCGAUAUUCAGUUUGGAGCUGAUUCUUUACAAACAUCGCAGGCUGAAUCGAUGAUCACUGUGUAUGAGUUUGAAAUCCCCCAAGAUCUUUGUGGUCGCUUGAUUGGACGGCAGGGAAAACAUGUCAAUUACAUUAAAAGCUGUUCGAAUGCUAAUGUAUUCAUCAAAAGACAUCUUUUCAAUCCUCGCAUGAAACUAUGUGCUAUUGAAGGUACAGAAGCAGACAUCAAAACUGCUCUACAUUUAAUUAGGAAGAAGUUUCCUCUGACUCACUAUCCCACGGUUACUCUUGUUCAAGUUAAUGUUCCUCUUACGUGUGGUAUUCCUGUACCAGAGACUUUGCAGCUUCUUCUUCCAGAAGGGGUAUCAUGUGAUACCAUUUUGUCCAGCAUGGUUACAGCUGGUCACUUUUUUCUUCAGCAGCCAACACACCCAACUUACCCAUCUUUGAGCCAACUUGACCAAUGUAUGACUACAUGUUACAUACAGGUGGACACUCCUCCCCUUCCUCAACCUGUCGAAGCAAGUGUAGUAUGUGCAGCUCCCAUGAUGGGAGGAUGGUUCAGAGCCCAGAUAAUGUAUGUACAUGAAAACAUGGAAGAGUGUGACAUCAAAUUUGUAGAUUAUGGAGGAUAUUCAAGAGUUCCAGUAUCUUCUUUGAGACAGAUAAGGAGUGAUUUUAUGACAUUGCCUUUCCAGGCAACUGAGUGUUAUCUGGCAAAUGUAAAGCCUAUAAAUGAUGAAGUUGCAUGGUCUCUAGAAGCUUGUGCCACGUUUGAAGAAUUAGCUCAAGGACAGAUUCUCCAAGCUAUGCUCGUCGCAUACGCUGAAGACGGUGUUCCAUAUGUUCAUCUGUACAGAGUUCAAGGGUUAUCGACAUUGUUCAUCAAUCGUGAACUAGUGAAUCGUGGAGUAGCACAGUGGAUUGAACAUCAGGGUUGAUUUCAUUUUCAAUUCUGUUUCCAUUAUUUUUCGCGUGCGGCAGCAUCGUUCAAAUCUUUUGUAACAAUCAACCAUGAGAGUAGCUAAUGUUUCCUGUUUAAGGUAGUAGCUGACAAGUGUGUGACGAACUCGGGUAUUCUGUCUUUGACUUAAUACUACAGAAUGUCAUUUUCAUUUCUGGUAAUUUAUGUGUGAAUCUUUUGUGAUCUAUAAUUUAUAGUAGCGUGUGGUAUAAUGGUACAAAUAGACGUUUGAAUUGUUUUUCUUUAGUUUUGGGAGUGAGAGCCUUUUUUCAUAGUUGAUGAUUUAUCUACUAGCUGAAUGGUUUUGCUUGAAUGUUAUGUAUAGUGAUUUAAAACUUUAAUUAGGAGUUAGAAUCACAAGAACUUUAACAGUGAUAAACUUUAUUAUUAUUGAGUAAUUUUGAAGUUAGCAUUCAAUAUUGUAUAGUUUGGAGUUUUAGUUUUAAACAUUUUUCCGGAAGUAACUACAAACUUGCCAAGACUUCAGCACGUUAAAGAAUUGUAGAUGUUAUUAGUUUGUAUAUUAUAGACACAGGUUAGAAUAUCAUAACAUUUUACCACAUUUUUUAUGGUAUUCAUUAUUGAUGAAAACUGAAUACUUUAUUUUCCCAAAUCAUCAAGUUUUUUCUUGUAUAGAUGAGAAAAAUUAGUGUUACAGUAUCUUUCAUUUUUGUAAUUUUUUUAUUUUUCCAAACAAAAGUAUUGAAAUCAUUUUUUGUAUGUAGUAUAAUGCAGUUUCAUGAGAAAAUGUUCCAAGAUAAAGCAGCUUACAGAUUCAUGAGAUGUUCUAAGAUAAAGCAGUUUACAGUUUCAUGAGAAUAUGUUCUAAGAUAAAGCAGUUUACAGUUUCAUGAGGUGUUGUAAGGUAAAACGUUUACAGUUUCAUGAGGUGUUGUAAGGUAAAGCAGUUUACAGUUUCAUGAGAAUAUGUUCUAAGAUAAAGCAGUUUACAGUUUCAUGAGAUGUUCUAAGAUAAAGCAGUUUAUAGUUUCAUGAGUAGAUGUUCUAUAAAGAAAUAGAAAUCCCAUUUGCUAAAAGCAUGAAAAUGAAUUCAAGAAAUUAACAACGUAAAGUCUGGAGUUAAAAGGUCGCAUAUAAUUUAAAAUUUGAAAAUAAUUUAUUUUUUCUCCAAAAUAUCAUUUAACCUUAAUAUGUCUGUGUUGAUAUAAACGUGUUGCUCAGUUGAGUUCAAUAAUUGUUUAGGUAAAAAUGUUCUCAUAAAAAAAAAAAGAUAUUUAAACUUACAAGCACUAAAACAAAUAUAUAGUAUAAAAUUAACUUUUGA